GAUUUACUAAUGAUUCAAUUGAUUUUUCCUAUACGAAACUUGUAAUUUUUUUUCAUAGUUUGAUAAAUAUUACGUAUUAACUCUAUUAUUCUUGAUGCAUGUUACCUUUGGCGAUUAACUAUCGAUAAAAAAAUUUCGCAAUUGUUACAACUUGUGUCUCCUGCCACUUUUGCUACUCGCUACCACCUCCAUAUCUAUGUAGAGUCAUCCUCUUUGGUGGUUCAUCGGCGGCUUCGUGAUUUCGAAGACUUUUUUUGUGCUUCUUGCUUAUUUCUGGUUAGAUUUGAGUGGUUUUGAUGGAAUUUUAUUGUUUUUGGUGGCACCUCUAAUCUGGAUUUGUCCAGAUCUGAGUGAAUAUGAGUUUGUCAACCCUCAUGUCAAACACGAAAUCCAUCAUCACUGUCGCCUUCAAAUCUAGAUAUGGCGGCGGUAGAGUCACCUCAGAAAGUCGUCUAAACUCACCACCACCGACUCUAGUCUCUCAGAUCUAAAGUCAAACAUUACAUCUGUUACCUACCACCGCCGUCGUCUCCCCUGAUGAGUUUUCACUAGUUGUUGAUGACUUUUUUGUGCUUCUUAUUCAGAUUUGGUUAGAUAUGAGUGAUUCGGAUGGAUUUUUAUUGUCUCCAAUGGCAUUUCUAGUCCAGAUAUGAGUGAAAAUGAGUUUGUCAACACCUCCGUCAAAGAUGAAAGCCAUCAACAUCAUCGCCUUUAAAUCCAGAUUGGCGACGGUACCACCACCUCAGACUGUCAGCCAAACUCACCACCACUAAUGAGUUUUCACUAGUCGUAUAUGUAUUCUACGACUGAAACUCUAGCUCCACCAUGAACAACCACACCAUUAGUCUACUCCAGUGUACAAAUCUAUUUCAUCUCCAUGUCUUUGAUGUACAGAUCUACUGGGGUGCAUAAAACUUGCGACCAUUAUUUUGACAAAACUUUCUUCCACCUCCAGAUCUAUGGCCACCUCCACAUUUGCUUCAUCUAUGUUGCGUCCUCCAUCUCCCACUGCCAGACCUGAUGCAGAUGACUGCCACCACCACUGAAAGUUGCUUCCACCCUCUCUCUCACCGCAUCUACAUCAAAUCUUAUUUGUAUGGUGCUUAUAGAUCUUAUGUGUGGUGCACACAAGGUGUUUGAUGAAAUGUUUCAAUAAAAUUGGUGUUGGCACCGGUGGUUGGUGGAGACGAUGGUUGAUGGUAGUGUAUGGUAGUUGGAGGUGUUGAAGUCGGUGGUGGUGGUGGUAAAGAAAGAACAUGUUCUAUUUAUCACUCAUCUUCUUUGUUGAUUUAAGAUAAGUUAUCAUGUUUUAUGA
This is a long non-coding RNA of Lactuca sativa (garden lettuce), 1315 nucleotides long. RefSeq lists it as uncharacterized. The record is from RefSeq and is a predicted model, not a curated record. NCBI's taxonomy places the organism in Eukaryota, Viridiplantae, Streptophyta, Magnoliopsida, Asterales, Asteraceae.